ACGAACGCUGGCGGCAUGCCUAACACAUGCAAGUCGAACGAGACCUUCGGGUCUAGUGGCGCACGGGUGCGUAACGCGUGGGAACCUGCCCUUAGGUUCGGAAUAACUCCCCGUAAGGGGUGCUAAUACCGGAUAAUGUCUUCGGACCAAAGAUUUAUCGCCUUUGGAUGGGCCCGCGUUGGAUUAGCUAGUUGGUAGGGUAAAAGCCUACCAAGGCGACGAUCCAUAGCUGGUCUGAGAGGAUGAUCAGCCACACUGGGACUGAGACACGGCCCAGACUCCUACGGGAGGCAGCAGUGGGGAAUAUUGGACAAUGGGCGAAAGCCUGAUCCAGCAAUGCCGCGUGAGUGAUGAAGGCCUUAGGGUUGUAAAGCUCUUUUACCCGGGAUGAUAAUGACAGUACCGGGAGAAUAAGCUCCGGCUAACUCCGUG
Molecule: ribosomal RNA, 432 nt
Filed under: uncultured bacterium
Lineage: Bacteria
Description: partial 16S ribosomal RNA
Rfam family: Bacterial small subunit ribosomal RNA
Source: RNAcentral